Molecule: ribosomal RNA, 484 nt
Filed under: uncultured bacterium
Lineage: Bacteria
Description: partial 16S ribosomal RNA
Rfam family: Bacterial small subunit ribosomal RNA
Source: RNAcentral
AUUGAACGCUGGCGGCAUGCCUUACACAUGCAAGUCGAACGGCAGCGCGGGAGCAAUCCUGGCGGCGAGUGGCGAACGGGUGAGUAAUACAUCGGAACGUGCCCAAUCGUGGGGGAUAACGCAGCGAAAGCUGUGCUAAUACCGCAUCCGAUCUACGGAUGAAAGCCGGGGAUCGCAAGACCUUGCGCGAAUGGAGCGGCCGAUGGCAGAUUAGGUAGUUGGUGAGGUAAAGGCUCACCAAGCCUUCGAUCUGUAGCUGGUCUGAGAGGACGACCAGCCACACUGGGACUGAGACACGGCCCAGACUCCUACGGGAGGCAGCAGUGGGGAAUUUUGGACAAUGGGCGAAAGCCUGAUCCAGCCAUGCCGCGUGCAGGAUGAAGGCCUUCGGGUUGUAAACUGCUUUUGUACGGAACGAAACGGUCUUUUCUAAUAAAGAAGGCUAAUGACGGUACCGUAAGAAUAAGCACCGGCUAACUACGUG